UACGUAGGGUGCAAGCGUUAAUCGGAAUUACUGGGCGUAAAGCGUGCGCAGGCGGUUUUGUAAGUCUGAUGUGAAAUCCCCGGGCUCAACCUGGGAAUUGCAUUGGAGACUGCAAGGCUAGAAUCUGGCGGAGGGGGGUAGAAUUCCACGUGUAGCAGUGAAAUGCGUAGAGAUGUGGAGGAACACCGAUGGCGAAGGCAGCCCCCUGGGUCAAGAUUGACGCUCAUGCACGAAAGCGUGGGGAGCAAACAGG
RNAcentral lists this ribosomal RNA (253 nucleotides) under uncultured bacterium. Its description in RNAcentral is "partial 16S ribosomal RNA". It matches the Rfam family "Bacterial small subunit ribosomal RNA", at positions 524 to 776 of the family's 1533-position model. The record is from RNAcentral.